GACGAACGCUGGCGGCGUGCCUAAUACAUGCAAGUAGAACGCACAGUUUAUACCGUAGCUUGCUACACCAUAAACUGUGAGUUGCGAACGGGUGAGUAACGCGUAGGUAACCUGCCUGGUAGCGGGGGAUAACUAUUGGAAACGAUAGCUAAUACCGCAUAAUAUUAAUUAUUGCAUGAUAAUUGAUUGAAAGAUACAAUUGCAUCACUACCAGAUGGACCUGCGUUGUAUUAGCUAGUAGGUGAGGUAACGGCUCACCUAGGCGACGAUACAUAGCCGACCUGAUAGGGUGAUCGGCCACACUGGGACUGAGACACGGCCCAGACUCCUACGGGAGGCAGCAGUAGGGAAUCUUCGGCAAUGGACGAAAGUCUGACCGAGCAACGCCGCGUGAGUGAAGAAGGUUUUCGGAUCGUAAAGCUCUGUUGUAAGAGAAGAACGGGUGUGAGAGUGGAAAGUUCACACUGUGACGGUAUCUUACCAGAAAGGGACGGCUAACUACGUG
RNAcentral lists this ribosomal RNA (505 nucleotides) under uncultured bacterium. Its description in RNAcentral is "partial 16S ribosomal RNA". It matches the Rfam family "Bacterial small subunit ribosomal RNA", at positions 28 to 507 of the family's 1533-position model. The record is from RNAcentral.